UGUAAAGGCCCUUUUCCCCAGAACUUCAGAAGCACAAAUUACGCCAAAGGUUGUUCUGGACAAUAUCAAUUGGCCUGGAGAAGAGGACAUAGAUGAGGACAUCGUAUCCAUUGAUCAUCAUAGCAGGAUCAUGGGUUAUCUUCGUAGAUUUAUAGAGACGGGUACCUCUGAUAUGUUGAAGAGUCUGCUCACCUUCUGGACUGGAUGGAAUGUUGUUUCUCCGAACCUGGAGGUGGAAGUCAUUGACUGUGGUCUGCCCCAGGCAUCUACUUGCUUCAUGACCCUGAAGCUUUCAAAGAACUGCUUAAACUAUGAGGACUUCUCUCAGGAACUCAGUGCGAGCAUUUCUUCAUCAUACUCUGGUUUUGGCCAGAUUUAGGCUUUGAAGGAUUUGGUGGAAAGCUGGUGUAUGUUUUUUAAAGUACUUAGUACUGUUAGU
Fundulus heteroclitus (mummichog) is the source of this 439-nucleotide long non-coding RNA. RefSeq lists it as uncharacterized. NCBI's taxonomy places the organism in Eukaryota, Metazoa, Chordata, Actinopteri, Cyprinodontiformes, Fundulidae. The transcript has 3 exons. The record is from RefSeq and is a predicted model, not a curated record.